This 301-nucleotide ribosomal RNA is filed under the name uncultured bacterium. RNAcentral's name for it is "partial 16S ribosomal RNA". It matches the Rfam family "Bacterial small subunit ribosomal RNA", at positions 509 to 809 of the family's 1533-position model. The record is from RNAcentral.
CAGUAGCCGCGGGAAUACGUAGGUAGCGAGCGUUGUCCGGAAUUAUUGGGCGUAAAGGGAGCGCAGGCGGGCGAGUAAGUCUUUCUUAAAAGUGCGGGGCUCAACCCCGUGAGGGGAGAGAAACUACUCAUCUUGAGUGCAGGAGAGGAAAGCGGAAUUCCUAGUGUAGCGGUGAAAUGCGUAGAUAUUAGGAAGAACACCAGUGGCGAAGGCGGCUUUCUGGACUGUAACUGACGCUGAGGCUCGAAAGCCAGGGGAGCGAACGGGAUUAGAUACCCGUGUAGUCCCUGUCUCUUAUACA